Molecule: ribosomal RNA, 253 nt
Filed under: uncultured bacterium
Lineage: Bacteria
Description: partial 16S ribosomal RNA
Rfam family: Bacterial small subunit ribosomal RNA
Source: RNAcentral
UACGGAGGGUGCAAGCGUUGUUCGGAAUUACUGGGCGUAAAGAGCGUGUAGGCGGUUGAUUAAGUCAGGUGUGAAAGCCCUUGGCUCAACCAAGGACGUGCAUCUGAAACUGGUCUACUUGAGUACGGGAGAGGAGAGUGGAAUUCCUGGUGUAGAGGUGAAAUUCGUAGAUAUCAGGAGGAACACCGGUGGCGAAGGCGCCUCUCUGGACCGAUACUGACGCUGAGACGCGAAAGCGUGGGGAGCAAACAGG